This 1066-nucleotide ribosomal RNA is filed under the name uncultured bacterium. RNAcentral's name for it is "bacterial SSU rRNA". It matches the Rfam family "Bacterial small subunit ribosomal RNA", at positions 409 to 1504 of the family's 1533-position model. The record is from RNAcentral.
UGACGCUUUUCGGAGUGUAAACCGCUUUUCUUGGGGACGAUGAAGGACGGUACCCGAGGAAGAAGGCCCGGCUAACUACGUGCCAGCAGCCGCGGUAAUACGUAGGGGCCGAGCGUUGUCCGGAGUUAUUGGGCGUAAAGCGCGCGCAGGCGGCUUCGCGCGCCCGACGUGAAAGCCCCCGGCUUAACCGGGGAGGGUCGUUGGGGACGGCGGAGCUUGAGGGCGGGAGAGGUCGGUGGAAUUCCCGGUGUAGUGGUGAAAUGCGUAGAGAUCGGGAGGAACACCUGUGGCGAAGGCGGCCGACUGGGCCGACCCUGACGCUGAGGCGCGAAGGCGUGGGGAGCGAACGGGAUUAGAUACCCCGGUAGUCCACGCAGUAAACGAUGCAGACUAGGCGUGGGUGGACUUGACCCCAUCCGUGCCGGAGCUAACGCGGGAAGUCUGCCGCCUGGGGAGUACGGCCGCAAGGCUAAAACUCAAAGGAAUUGACGGGGGCCCGCACAAGCGGCGGAGCGUGCGGUUUAAUUCGACGCAACGCGCAGAACCUUACCAGGGCUUGACAUGCUUCUGCGAGACCGGGAAACCGGGAAGCCUUCGAGGGAGAAGCACAGGUGCUGCAUGGCUGUCGUCAGCUCGUGUCGUGAGAUGUUGGGUUAAGUCCCGCAACGAGCGCAACCCUCGUGAGUAGUUGUUGAUGUUUCUACUCAGACUGCCGCGAGCAACGCGGAGGAAGGUGGGGAUGACGUCAAGUCAGCAUGGCCCUUACGUCCUGGGCAACACGCACGCUACAAUGGAUGGGACAACGGGUAGCCAAGCGGCAACGCGGAGCGAAUCCCCCAAACCCAUUCUCAGUUGGAACUGUGGGCUGCAACUCGCCCGCAUGAACGUGGAGUCGCUAGUAACCGCAGGUCAGCAGUACUGCGGUGAAUACGUUCCCGGGCCUUGUACACACCGCCCGUCACGUCACGAAAGCCGGCAACACCUGAAGCCGGUGGGCCAACCUUUGGGAGGCAGCCGUCGAGGGUGGGGUGGGUGAUUGGGACGAAGUCGUAACAAGGUAGCCGUA